Aedes aegypti (yellow fever mosquito) is the source of this 452-nucleotide long non-coding RNA. RefSeq lists it as uncharacterized. The record is from RefSeq and is a predicted model, not a curated record. The transcript has 2 exons. NCBI's taxonomy places the organism in Eukaryota, Metazoa, Arthropoda, Insecta, Diptera, Culicidae.
CUGUGCAUUGUGCGAAUAAUACAACAAGAAAGGCCUUCCGUGGAAGGCCUUUUUUUCUGUUUCUUCUUCGUGCGCUUCAUUAGCUCCAGCCCGAACGCAGACCGACCAGCGGAGAGAAACUCCUUCCUUGACGGCUCCAGCGAGUUCCGGACACACCGGGUGGUCAGCACCUACCCGUUACGACACAGAACCGGGUGGCAAGCCACACGGAUGAACCGAAAAGUUGCCAUUGGUUGGGGUUGGCUCCUCGCAACGCGGAUCGCCGAGGGUGAGCAGUAAAAGGGUCCGUGGCUAACAUGCAGGUCACCACAGUACGGUCAAUCGUAACCCACGUCAGCAUGUUCCGGUCCGUGAGUAAAUAACUAAGAAAAUUGUUAGAAUAAGCAAAGAAGAUAGGCAGAUAGGGCCAGUGAGGAAUGAGAUGGAAUAAAUUGGCUCAUUGUUGAUGAAUA